Onychostruthus taczanowskii (white-rumped snowfinch) is the source of this 981-nucleotide long non-coding RNA. RefSeq lists it as uncharacterized. The transcript has 2 exons. Lineage: Eukaryota; Metazoa; Chordata; Aves; Passeriformes; Passeridae. The record is from RefSeq and is a predicted model, not a curated record.
GCUGUGGUUUGCUCCUCCUUCCAGUCCUUGUGGCACCAGAAUUGCUCCAAAGCUCAGUGCUCCCCACGAGGGGGGUUUCUGUGGUGGUCAGCGCUGCCCUGAUGUAGGAAUGUGCCCCGUGUUGACGGAGUGACUAAAUUAUUUUUUGUCUGCUUGAAAAGGCAAAAAGCCCAGAAGUUUCUCUCCCAAUUUGGUACAAAGACACCUCACAGGACCUUUGGGACUUCACCUCAGACCUGGGGCUGUCCAUUGGACAGAGGCCAAGAGGUCCCACCUGGGUAAUUCACUAGAAAAGGAAGAGAACAAAGGAAAUAAUUGCUUUUGUGGGGUGUUUUACCAGGAGCAAGAUCCUCUUGCCCCUAGGCUUAGUUUUUCUCUGUAAGAGUUUUGUUAUUUUGCCUUUUAUUAAACCUUUUUCUGUUUCCAGCACUACCUCAAAAGCCAUCCUGCUAGUUUUAUGCCAUUCAAGGUAGCUGGGCUGUCUCAAGUGUGAUAGGUUCUCUAAAAGCCCAUAAAACCCAGCUCAAAGAGAAACCCUGAGAUCCCUCUUCUUCCUUGUGAAAAAUGCCAAUCACUUGGUUUUAAAAUUUUUCAAGUUGAAUAGUAAUAAAAUGGUUAUAAAAAUAGUAAUAUAUUUAGAUUAAUAAAAAAUUUGGACAAUUAGGAUUAGGACAAUACAUGACAAUAAAAACAAAGAGUUACAGACAGUCCAGGUACCUCUUUCUGGGCAAAAUAAGCCCGAAAAAGGACAGAGGAUUAACCCUUAAAAACAACAGCCUGUUGCAUAUUCAUACACCUCAGGCAUGGUGCAUGAAUUCCAUUCCAGCACAGGAUUCUGUCUGGUCAACAUCUUCCUCUGAAUCCUGAGCUGAGCGAGGCAGGAAGAAGUUCAUUUCUUCUGAUAAUGGAGCAAUAUAUUCUUUUUCUCUGAAAGCUUUAGGUGUCCUGUGGCUGCUAUCUCAGUGCAAGUGCCUCUCCUUA